AUCUUUAAAAUGUUUAAUUGUGUGUAUGGUAAUAUAGAUUAGAUUAGGUAGUUCUACGAUUAUUUUGAUUUUUAAAAUUUUAAUUAAAUAAAUAAAAAUUCAAAUACCAACAACCAAUCAAAUUAAGAGAAUUAAUUUUAAACUUCAGAUAUGAAUGACACCUAAGUAAAAAUCACUUAAGUGAUUUCUCCGUACAGGAUUCAGCUAUAUGGGUGCUAUUGGACCCUGCAGAUCAUCCUUAAUAUGAUUUAAAGUUCAUUCGAGUAAAACAGUGUUACAAGAAUACAUCCCCUAGAUAUUAUUUGUGAAAUGAUUUCACAAAUGUCAUCUCUACAAUCAUUUUCACCAAAAAAAUAUGACAUGACAUAUUAAAAUUGAUGAUAUGGUUUAUGGUUAAAAGUGACAUGGACAACUACAUUUAAUGUUAAAUUCAAUUUUCGGUAACUU
This 447-nucleotide long non-coding RNA is filed under the name Brassica napus (rape). Its description in RNAcentral is "long non-coding RNA (BNAP_LNC019809)". The record is from RNAcentral. Lineage: Eukaryota; Viridiplantae; Streptophyta; Magnoliopsida; Brassicales; Brassicaceae.